RNAcentral lists this transfer RNA (76 nucleotides) under Roseateles saccharophilus. RNAcentral's name for it is "tRNA-Arg(ccg)". It matches the Rfam family "tRNA". Rfam says of the family: Transfer RNA (tRNA) molecules are approximately 80 nucleotides in length. Their secondary structure includes four short double-helical elements and three loops (D, anti-codon, and T loops). The record is from RNAcentral. RNAcentral also lists the same sequence under 25 other names. Lineage: Bacteria; Pseudomonadati; Pseudomonadota; Betaproteobacteria; Burkholderiales; Sphaerotilaceae.
GCGCCCGUAGCUCAAUGGAUAGAGUACUGCCCUCCGAAGGCAGGGGUUGUUGGUUCGAUCCCAACCGGGCGCGCCA